UGGGGAAUAUUGCACAAUGGGCGCAAGCCUGAUGCAGCCAUGCCGCGUGUGUGAAGAAGGCCUUCGGGUUGUAAAGCACUUUCAGCGAGGAGGAAGGUGGUGAGCUUAAUACGCUCAUCAAUUGACGUUACUCGCAGAAGAAGCACCGGCUAACUCCGUGCCAGCAGCCGCGGUAAUACGGAGGGUGCAAGCGUUAAUCGGAAUUACUGGGCGUAAAGCGCACGCAGGCGGUUUGUUAAGUCAGAUGUGAAAUCCCCGGGCUCAACCUGGGAACUGCAUUGAAACUGGCAGCUAGAGUCUCGUAGAGGGGGUAGAAUUCCAGGUGUAGCGGUGAAAUGCGUAGAGAUCUGGAGGAAUACCGGUGGCGAAGGCGGCCCCCUGGACGAAGACUGACGCUCAGGUGCGAAAGCGUGGGGAGCAAACAG
This 425-nucleotide ribosomal RNA is filed under the name uncultured bacterium. Its description in RNAcentral is "partial 16S ribosomal RNA". It matches the Rfam family "Bacterial small subunit ribosomal RNA", at positions 355 to 775 of the family's 1533-position model. The record is from RNAcentral.